UAGGGAAUCUUCCACAAUGGACGCAAGUCUGAUGGAGCAACGCCGCGUGAGUGAAGAAGAUCUUCGGAUCGUAAAACUCUGUUGUUAGAGAAGAACACGAGUGAGAGUAACUGUUCAUUCGAUGACGGUAUCUAACCAGCAAGUCACGGCUAACUACGUGCCAA
RNAcentral lists this ribosomal RNA (164 nucleotides) under uncultured bacterium. Its description in RNAcentral is "partial 16S rRNA". It matches the Rfam family "Bacterial small subunit ribosomal RNA", at positions 355 to 511 of the family's 1533-position model. The record is from RNAcentral.